UACGGAGGAUGCGAGCGUUAUCCGGAUUUAUUGGGUUUAAAGGGUGCGUAGGCGGAUCGUUAAGUCAGUGGUCAAAUUGAGGGGCUCAACCCCUUCCCGCCAUUGAAACUGGCGAUCUUGAGUGGAAGAGAAGUAUGCGGAAUGCGUGGUGUAGCGGUGAAAUGCAUAGAUAUCACGCAGAACCCCGAUUGCGAAGGCAGCAUGCUGGCUUCCGACUGACGCUGAAGCACGAAAGCGUGGGGAUCGAACAGG
Molecule: ribosomal RNA, 252 nt
Filed under: uncultured bacterium
Lineage: Bacteria
Description: partial 16S ribosomal RNA
Rfam family: Bacterial small subunit ribosomal RNA
Source: RNAcentral